AGUGCUACGCCGAUCGCCGCGUAGAGCGCACGACGCUACGCCGUGCUACGUCGUAGCUCAUAGAAUAGUGUGUGAACGUGUACUUACAUGUGCGACCUAAGGAGAGCAACGCUUAUGAUUUUUAUUUCAAGAAAUAAAAAAUGUGUUUGAUGAAAAGAAGGUUUCGCUGUAGUGUUAAUAGACGAACGUACAAGUUUUCUGUGUCACGAAGAUCCAGUUGAGAAGACAAACUCAAUAACAAUGGAAUAUGGUUGAACUAUCGCUUACGUGUCAACCGAACUGUGCUUCCGGAAAAUGAUUACGCGCAGUGAAA
RNAcentral lists this unclassified non-coding RNA (313 nucleotides) under Melitaea cinxia (Glanville fritillary). RNAcentral describes it as "misc RNA ENSMCXG00005003254.1". The record is from RNAcentral. Lineage: Eukaryota; Metazoa; Arthropoda; Insecta; Lepidoptera; Nymphalidae.